UGAGAACAUAGCAGGUGAAUUGCAUGCACGCUUACAAACACACAUGAUUUAAAUAUAGGCCAGGCCAAAGGCCUGGACUUGAUGCAGCUUUCAACUUUACAGCUCCUAACUUGCAGGAAUGGCGGGGAGUGUAAUGAAUGAAUGCAAAACAUGCUUACAGACACAAACAUGAUAUGAGUUUAUUUUACAGGGUAAAGGUGGACCACAGGUUGCUUUGUUUCUGCUUAGCAACUACUGAGGAGAAGAUUUCCACUAGAGAAGGACCCAGAAAAGGAGCGGAGAUUACCUAAGCAUGAAGUGUUUUCAAGUGGGGGCUGGUGUUUUAUUGCUGGACCACCUAGAGGACAUGAGGUUGUUGUCGGAUUUGCUGAGUCAGGGGGCGGCUAGAGAGGGUCAGAGCGAAGGUAGUGGACCUGGGAAUGGUGUAGUGACGUCUUUGGAAGACGUCAAAAGGGGGAAUUGUGGAAUUACAGGGAUUAUUUUACAUAACCAUCAUCUUAUCAUUGCAUUAAUUAUCAUUUCAUCAAAGUGUUUAUUGAAGCUGCUGGCAUUAUGUUAUAAUUUAUAUUAUAGGGGUUAUCCUAAUCAAAUAUUAACAUGUUUAUUACAGGUGCAGUUAUAACUACUUUAAAAUGAUUGAGUUAAAUAUAUAUGUAUCAUAACUCAUAUGCUGAGUAUAUUGGUAGAGUAAAAUAGUAGCUGAGUAAAGGCCUGAAUGUAUUCAGCUUCUUGUGGUAUUUGAGUUUGCUUAGUUACAGGUGACGGAAGGAUGUCCAGUCCAUGGUGACCUCAAAAGCCUUAGGUCAUCACCAUAUUCGGAAGAGUAUGCCACAAGGAGGAACCUCUAUGUUGCAUUUAAUUCUUAAAAUACAUGAAUGUUCUGUACAUGCAAAUUAUGUGUUUGUAAGCGCAAGAAGGGGCGUUACAAUACCCUGAUGUUAUAAAAGCAAUCUAGAGUGUAUUUUGGGUAGAGAUGUACAACUGCUUUGCAGUUUGCACCUCUCCACGCUGCGUGCAUUCAUUAAAAUCAAUUGUUUGAUUGACC
Molecule: long non-coding RNA, 1045 nt
Organism: Oreochromis aureus
Lineage: Eukaryota; Metazoa; Chordata; Actinopteri; Cichliformes; Cichlidae
Source: Ensembl